UACGUAGGGGGCUAGCGUUGUCCGGAAUCAUUGGGCGUAAAGCGCGUGUAGGCGGUCCGGUAAGUCCGCUGUGAAAGUCGAGGGCUCAACCCUCGAAUGCCGGUGGAUACUGUCGGGCUUGAGUACGGGAGAGGCGAGUGGAAUUCCUGGUGUAGCGGUGAAAUGCGCAGAUAUCAGGAGGAACACCGAUUGCGAAGGCAGCUCGCUGGAACGUUACUGACGCUGAGACGCGAAAGUGUGGGGAGCGAACAGG
RNAcentral lists this ribosomal RNA (253 nucleotides) under uncultured bacterium. RNAcentral's name for it is "partial 16S ribosomal RNA". It matches the Rfam family "Bacterial small subunit ribosomal RNA", at positions 524 to 776 of the family's 1533-position model. The record is from RNAcentral.